Molecule: ribosomal RNA, 706 nt
Filed under: uncultured Lachnospiraceae bacterium
Lineage: Bacteria; Bacillati; Bacillota; Clostridia; Lachnospirales; Lachnospiraceae
Description: bacterial SSU rRNA
Rfam family: Bacterial small subunit ribosomal RNA
Source: RNAcentral
GAAACACCUUAUUUGAUUUUCUUCGGAACUGAAGAUUUGGUGAUUGAGUGGCGGACGGGUGAGUAACGCGUGGGUAACCUGCCCUGUACAGGGGGAUAACAGUCAGAAGUGACUGCUAAUACCGCAUAAGACCACAGCACCGCAUGGUGCAGGGGUAAAAACUCCGGUGGUACAGGAUGGACCCGCGUCUGAUUAGCUGGUUGGUGAGGUAACGGCUCACCAAGGCGACGAUCAGUAGCCGGCUUGAGAGAGUGAACGGCCACAUUGGGACUGAGACACGGCCCAAACUCCUACGGGAGGCAGCAGUGGGGAAUAUUGCACAAUGGGGGAAACCCUGAUGCAGCGACGCCGCGUGAGUGAAGAAGUAUCUCGGUAUGUAAAGCUCUAUCAGCAGGGAAGAAAAUGACGGUACCUGACUAAGAAGCCCCGGCUAACUACGUGCCAGCAGCCGCGGUAAUACGUAGGGGGCAAGCGUUAUCCGGAAUUACUGGGUGUAAAGGGUGCGUAGGUGGUAUGGCAAGUCAGAAGUGAAAACCCAGGGCUUAACUCUGGGACUGCUUUUGAAACUGUCAGACUGGAGUGCAGGAGAGGUAAGCGGAAUUCCUAGUGUAGCGGUGAAAUGCGUAGAUAUUAGGAGGAACAUCAGUGGCGAAGGCGGCUUACUGGACUGAAACUGACACUGAGGCACGAAAGCGUGGGGAGCAAA